AAAAAGCUUGACGAGUCCUCAACACAAGGCCUCUCUGAAUUUAAGAACGAGGUUAGCGUGAUUGCACGCCUUCAACACGUUAACCUUGUUUGCCUCCGUGGGUGGAGCACUUACAAUGAAGAAAAGGUCUUGAUUUACGAGUAGUUGGAAAACGGAAGCCUUGAAGGCCAUCUCUUUGGUGGAAGAACCCAAUCCUCUAGACUUAAUUGGCAGACAAGAUUUGAGAUAAUUGAUGGCAUUGCGCGAGGGCUUGAAUAUAUGCAAGAGGAAUCACGGGUUAAAAUUGUACAUAGGGACUUGAAACCGGGAAAUAUCUUACUUGAUAUAGAUAUGGUCCCAAAAAUUUCAGAUUUCGGCCUGGCAAGAAUCUGCAGAAAGAACGAGAAUGAAGCUUUUACCACUGCGGCGGCUGGAAGCUAUGGUUACAUGUCUCCAGAAUAUGCGGGAGAGGGUAUAUACUCUGACGAAAUCGGAUGUUUACAGCUUCGGAGUUAUUGUGCUGGAGAUUGUAACUGGCUAGAUGAACAGGACGUUCUCCCUGUCGGACCCCAACUGUGCUAAUCUCCUCAGCUAUAACCAGAGGGAUCAGGAGAUGUUCAAGAUGAUGCUCUUUCCUGUCCACAGCUACAAGCAGCUGCUCAAACGCUCUGUGACAUUGCAGUCCAAUCCGAAAAACACAACAACCCAAAUGGAAUCCUCAGAUGGCCGAAUAAGCUCUCUCAGAAAUCCAUGAAAGCCCGCAAAACCAAACUCCGAAAGGCACAAGACAAAUGUUUCCUCCUUCGAUCAUAACUCAAGCAACUACAACAAUAACAACAACCAUGUGAGAAAAGAUUCAGCCGCAGAGCAUACAUAACCAUCAUCAUCAUCAUCUUAAGCCUUCAAAGAGACUGAAAUUAUCAACAAUGGAGAACAAGAAAGGAACAUUCCCAAGCUCAUCAUCAUCCCCAAUAGAAUCACAUAGAAAACAUUCAUCUUCAAGCAAGCUCAAGAAUCACUCCCGUUUGAUGCCGCCGCCUCCACCACCAACGAGAACACUCCAAAAGUCAUCCAUGUAUCCUCAUAAAGCUCGGAAAUUUCCAUGAACGGGCUGAACAUAAGAGUGGUGGACGUGGAUCCAUAUAAACCAAUCUUGUUUACUCAAGAAACCGGUAGGAGUCAUUUGUAAAUAUGAAUGGUGUCACGGUGUAAGGUAAGUUCUUCUCUAUGUGCACAGUUUAGGUGCAGAGGACUAUAUAUACAUAUAUAUAUAUAGUUUAUAUAUGUAUUGCCUUCAAUGUUGUAACGUUUUAUUUUCAGUUGUAGUUGUAGCCACACAGUUCUUGUAAGGUCUGUUGUGUUUAAAAUUUUCAGUUCUACGAGCCUAA
Camelina sativa (false flax) is the source of this 1367-nucleotide non-coding RNA. The record is from RefSeq and is a predicted model, not a curated record. NCBI's taxonomy places the organism in Eukaryota, Viridiplantae, Streptophyta, Magnoliopsida, Brassicales, Brassicaceae.